Non-coding RNA from Acanthosepion pharaonis, 111 nucleotides. The record is from the annotation of a GenBank genome assembly. NCBI's taxonomy places the organism in Eukaryota, Metazoa, Mollusca, Cephalopoda, Sepiida, Sepiidae.
UCGAUUAUAUCACGUUGAAACACCGAUUCCCAUAUGAUCAUCGAAGUUAAGCAACUGUGGAGCCUGGCCCGUACCGAGAUGGGUAGCCGCUUGGGAAUACCAGGUUCUGUU